This 279-nucleotide ribosomal RNA is filed under the name uncultured Staphylococcus sp. RNAcentral describes it as "partial 16S ribosomal RNA". It matches the Rfam family "Bacterial small subunit ribosomal RNA", at positions 83 to 354 of the family's 1533-position model. The record is from RNAcentral. Lineage: Bacteria; Bacillati; Bacillota; Bacilli; Caryophanales; Staphylococcaceae.
CCUUUGACGUUAGCGGCGGACGGGUGAGUAACACGUGGGUAACCUACCUAUAAGACUGGGAUAACUUCGGGAAACCGGAGCUAAUACCGGAUAAUAUUUCGAACCGCAUGGUUCGAUAGUGAAAGGUGGUUUUGCUAUCACUUAUAGAUGGACCCGCGCCGUAUUAGCUAGUUGGUAAGGUAACGGCUUACCAAGGCGACGAUACGUAGCCGACCUGAGAGGGUGAUCGGCCACACUGGAACUGAGAUACGGUCCAGACUCCUACGGGAGGCAGCAGAC